RNAcentral lists this small RNA (18 nucleotides) under Arabidopsis thaliana (thale cress). RNAcentral describes it as "ATSL018940". The record is from RNAcentral. Lineage: Eukaryota; Viridiplantae; Streptophyta; Magnoliopsida; Brassicales; Brassicaceae.
AGAAGAAGACGAGGAAGA